AUUGAACGCUGGCGGCAGGCCUAACACAUGCAAGUCGAGCGGAUGAAGGGAGCUUGCUCCUGGAUUCAGCGGCGGACGGGUGAGUAAUGCCUAGGAAUCUGCCUGGUAGUGGGGGAUAACGUCCGGAAACGGGCGCUAAUACCGCAUACGUCCUGAGGGAGAAAGUGGGGGAUCUUCGGACCUCACGCUAUCAGAUGAGCCUAGGUCGGAUUAGCUAGUUGGUGGGGUAAAGGCCUACCAAGGCGACGAUCCGUAACUGGUCUGAGAGGAUGAUCAGUCACAUGGGAACUUAGACACGGUCCAGACUCCUACGCGAGGCAGCAGUGGGGAAUAUUGGACAAGGGGCGAAAGCCUGAUCCAGCCAUGCCGCGUGGGUGAAGAAGGUCUUCGGAUUGUAAAGCACUUUAAGUUGGGAGGAAGGGCAGUAAGUUAAUACCUUGCGGUUUUGACGUUACCAACAGAAUAAGCACCGGCUAACUUCGUG
RNAcentral lists this ribosomal RNA (484 nucleotides) under uncultured bacterium. Its description in RNAcentral is "partial 16S ribosomal RNA". It matches the Rfam family "Bacterial small subunit ribosomal RNA", at positions 30 to 507 of the family's 1533-position model. The record is from RNAcentral.